RNAcentral lists this transfer RNA (29 nucleotides) under Limia heterandria. RNAcentral describes it as "partial tRNA-Thr". Lineage: Eukaryota; Metazoa; Chordata; Actinopteri; Cyprinodontiformes; Poeciliidae. The record is from RNAcentral.
GCACUAGUAGUUCAGUAUUCAGAACGUCG